This is a long non-coding RNA of Pteropus alecto (black flying fox), 2408 nucleotides long. RefSeq lists it as uncharacterized. The record is from RefSeq and is a predicted model, not a curated record. The transcript has 3 exons. NCBI's taxonomy places the organism in Eukaryota, Metazoa, Chordata, Mammalia, Chiroptera, Pteropodidae.
UUUUCCGGAUGUUUUGUGGAUUUUUUCAAUCUGCAGUUCCCUCACCCCCCGAGGAAUGAAUCAACUCAGCCAGCCCGUUGGACAGAAACACUAAACAUCAGAGAAUGGGGAUUUAUAACAGUGACAGCCUGGUUGAGCCGAAGAUGUCAGCCCCUAAUGCAGGGGAACCUGAAAUUUAUAUGGAGCUCGAAGUGGACUUUUUUGGUGGGAAUAUUUUGGGUGGGAAGGGAAGAGAAUCCAGUGAAGUGGGAGGACCAGUCCAGGACUUCUACUUAUGGCUUCAGCCCUCAUGCUCCCAGGCCAGGAGCCAGCAGGACCAUCCCGGGCACCACAGCAGGAAACAUCUUGGGUCCACUGGGCACCAGCAGAGGUCCAGCACCUGCUCUCUGUCAUGGAGGAGGCUGUCAUCAGGAGGUGCCUGAAGACAGUUCACCACAAACACUUCAGUCUAUGUAGAUGUGGCCAGGUGCCUUCAGGAGCAGAGAUAUGUCUGGCAUGCACACCAGUGCCAUACCAAGUUCAAGGCCUUCAAGCUGGCCUUCAAGAUUGGGCCCACAUAGCCAUCCUGCGCUCUGGGAUAACUCCUUCUACAAAGCCGAUCAUGGGCAACAGCAGCCCAGACAACCUCAGAGAACAAACACAGCCAUAGCAUCUCAACCACCACUACCUGCCAACCUAGGGAAGGAAAAAAAGAUAAUGAACAGAAAGAUAGAUGAACAGAAGAGUACUCUCCCCAGCAACAGCAGUAGGAAGCAUCAGAACCAGAGAUGGAGAUAGAGACAGAGUAUCAUUUUAAGCUAAAAGUGGGAGCAUUAGAGCUGUCUAGUGACCUCAGUCCUGAAAGCCCAACUGGUUCCCAGACCGACAAAAGAACUGAGAUGGAGAUUAAGCAGAAUGUCCAAGGGAUUGGGGCAGAUAAGUGGCCAAAUGUGUUCUACCAAAGCUUUGAUGCCAUGGGUCGGGGUGGAAGAGGAAGUCAUAAAUGAUAAAACCAAAGUCGGGAUGUCCUCAAAGUUCCUAAAAAUUUUAAAAAGCAUCAUUUAACUAUAGAUAUUGGAAUCAGCAUAUUUAAGCUGGAAGGGACAGCUGGAGACCGUCGUCAACCUUUGUAGUUGAGGAAACGAAUCCAGGAGAAAGUAAUUUGCGAAAGGCGACGCUGCCGGUUAAUGCUAAGACUGACACUGAAACCCAAGCCCAGUGAUGCUUCCAUUGGCUUAUAACUGGCUUUUGACUUAAAUGUGCUUGUUAACUGGACACCAUGGGAAUCUUUUCCAGUCUUAAAACUGGGGCCUGGAAAGAAUAGGUUGAGGACAGCAGCUAGAAUUUUGUUCUCUUUUUCUCCAACAAAAGCCCAGAGGAGGCUAGAGUCUCCAGAGAGAAACUAGCCUUAGAGACUCCAUCAUCAGCCUCAAAGGCUCCAGGAGUCUCUGCAGUGUCCCCUGGAGCACAGGAAGAUAGAGUGUGCCAGUUCCAGCCCAGAUCCAUUAACCUUGGGUGCUAUCAGGCCAUUGCUGCCAUUAUGGCAGCUGAAAUGGCAGAGAACAGGUACCUGGUCAGCGAACCAGAUACCUGGUCAGGAAUCAGCUGCCCAGUGGCAGUGUCACCUAGACCAGCACAUUGCCCAUAUGGCAGAUGGCCGGAGACAUUUACACCCGGUGCCAGGAGGUGGUAGCCAUUCUUCAGGACAUUGCUGAUAAAGUCCAUGAGCGGGUAGCCCUCCUAAGGUCAUCUCUAGGCUACCUGAGCUAAGAGUGAGACCUAUAGACCACAGCCUCUGCCAUACUCAGCCACCCCAGGACCUAACAGAGAUUUCUCCACUGAGACUGGGAUUUUUGCUUCUCUUUUCUCUUCCUUUUUCUUCUAGGAGAAAUUUGAAAAUUAAGUAGAGAAAAGGUGAAUAAAAGGUAAAGGAACUUAGGAUUUUAAUAAAAAGAUCUUCAUAUGAAAGCAGCUAGCAUUUGGGGGUUUUUCCUUGUUUCAUUCUGUCUCAGCCCAAUAGCAAAGAAUGGACAAGCCCCUGGACUAGGGCUUCUAAUGAUUAUAAUCAGACCUUAGCCAAGAGAAGCUAUGGUGGACAGGCCUAGGUCUGUCUUCUCAUUACCUCUGAGUCCCAUUUGUUAUCAUUCAUAUAUUCAAGAGACAUUUGAAGGUCUACUAUAUGCCCAGACAUUAUGUUAAGUACAGGAUAUUUGUUAGUGAUGAAAGUGCACUUCAUGUUUGGAAAACAGUAUGAUGGUUUGAAAAAGUUAAAAAUAGAAUUACUAUAUGAUGCAUCAAUCCCACUUCUGGGUAUAUUUCCAAAGAAUUGAAAGCAGGAUGUCAAAGAGAUGCCUUUGUUUAUUACAGUAUUAUACACAGUAGGCAAGAAGAAGAAGCAAAAUAAAUGUCCAUUGUUGGAUGAAUGGAUA